Molecule: long non-coding RNA, 2154 nt
Organism: Haliotis rufescens (red abalone)
Lineage: Eukaryota; Metazoa; Mollusca; Gastropoda; Lepetellida; Haliotidae
Exons: 3
Source: RefSeq, a predicted model, not a curated record
ACCUCUACACCCCUGUCAUCAACACACACGGACAAUGGAAGUAUUGUUUUACCCUUAGCAGUGGUGUGUGGUAUCAUGGGUCUCAUCAUCGUGGCGCUGAUCAUAUAUAUCAUGGUAAACAAGCUAUCCAGGAACUCGCACGGUAAUUCAUCUAAUACUGAAACGUCAGUUCAUUAUGGUGUGCGGAGCAUCCCUAAUGGAUCCCAGGGAGAAGAUGACCUUAUUCCCACCAGUGGAACCACCAAAACAUAUUCUGGCCUCAGCCAUGAUGUUGAAAGAAAUAUCUACAAUGUAAUACAACGUAAUGCAAGUGAAGACGGUGAAGAGCAUAGCUACGGUCACAUAAACAGAAGUGAAGGACCUUCCUACGUCAACUCGGUCAGUGGAGAUGAUCCAUACAUUAACGCCUAGAGACAACACACAAGCUAGUGUUUCAGAUUGUUGCAGCAUAUAGUACCAUUAUUCGCAGGUAUAAGAUCAGUCAGUGCGUAUUUGCACUUAUCAAGUAUAACAUGUAAAGUUUAUGUUGUAAAUUAUGUCUCUAUAUCAUGUUCCAUAUAUACUCAAAGCCAUUGAAAACGCACUUCAGUGUUCAGAAUGUGUGUAUUUUAUUACAGUGAAAGAAAACCAAAUGAAACCAACCAAAAUGACAAACACACCCAUUACAUGAAAUGUUAGCAAUAAAGUCCGUAAGAAACACGCCCGUGGAUGAUGACACAGAGGCUCAGAACGAAGCCGGGACCACCGAGGAUCAAUAGCGGGCAUGUCCACCAUAUCCACUGACGAAUGCCUGAAGUCGCCGAGGCAUGGACUGACAACUCAGGAAACGUUGUUGAAUGGUCUGCCAGUGAUGUUGUGGGGGUGGGUGCGUAUGGUUUUACGCCGCUAUUAGCAAUAUUCCAGCAAUAUCAGGACGGGGACACAAGGAAAGGGCUUCACAUUGUACCCAUGUCGGGAAUCGGACCCGGGUCUUCGGCGUGACGAGCGAACGCUUUAACCACCAGGCGAUCCGACCGCCCCUGAUGUUGUGGGGACUGUGUCAACUCUGCCACUGUCUGAGGCGGUUGCUGUUGAGUUGGAACCCUCUGUCAAAGCUCGUCCUACAAGUGUUCAAUUGGAUUCAUGUCAGGUGACAUGGCAGGAUGUUGUUCCUGGUCAGAAAGUCUCCCGUGAACCUUGUGGACGUGCAUUGUCAUGCUGGAAGACAAGAUGAUGUAGGGCGCCAUGUUGAGCCAGUAAUGGCAAUAGUGCUGGGCGAAGGGUAUUAUUCACAUAAUGCCUUGGAUAACCACCGUCUGUGGGACCGGAAACUGAUGGUACAUCCCAUACCAUUGUACAGCCUCCUCCAAAGCGACACCUUUCCAAAACACAGCGGCGUUGACGGGUCCCAAAAGUACCAAAAGGUACAAAAGGUUGAAACGAUGCCACAGUCGAGUUAUCUUGCAUGGAUGGACGUUAACACGUCUGGCGACGAUCACUUGAGUUGCCCCUUCUUGCAGCAUUCUGAUCGCUUGGUUCCUGCUGGCUUGGUCGAGUCUUGGCAUACUGAACAAGUGUCGGAUGACCAUUUUCGUAGGUGCUUUUAAAGAACCUGGGAUCUAGCGUUUCACGUGCAGCAUGUGUCAAGCAACAGUGAUUGUGUUUCGGUGCAGUGUGCACAGUUGCGCUUUUCACUUUCUGAUUCAUUGCUCCAAGGUGGUUCGAACCCGAAUUGUCACAAGGGGACACAUAUCUCUCACACCACUAUCAUGAUGUUUGAAAAGGUUUGGGGCAAUUGCUCUUUUCACAAGUACGCUCAUCAAAAGCUAUUGUGUUUUCAAUGGCUUUGUGGUAAAUCCUCAUUCCACCCCAUUUUUCAAAGAUUCGUUUAUCACCUGAUCAAUCAGCUUGCUUGAUAAUUAAAUUUAGUUUACCUACUUCGUUAUGAAUUAAUAUUAUUCUAAGCUAUGAACAUAUCUGGUUAUGCUUUUUCACAUAUCUUUGAAACAAAAUAGUGGUCUGUAUAUUCAGCGUGAGACUAACCAGUGUUUCUAUAAAGGCCAACGUAUACAUAUAAACUUUAUUUUCGUAAUUAUUUCUCUUAAGUUUGAAAAGGAGUUCCAUAUUUGUUCCAUAUUAUACACAUUCUAGUUAUAUCCUCAUUCCAUAACAUUU